Lates calcarifer (barramundi perch) is the source of this 535-nucleotide long non-coding RNA. RefSeq lists it as uncharacterized. The record is from RefSeq and is a predicted model, not a curated record. NCBI's taxonomy places the organism in Eukaryota, Metazoa, Chordata, Actinopteri, Centropomidae. The transcript has 3 exons.
CCACCACAGUGGCUUCUAAGCUUGUUUCCUACCAGCCAACCAGUCAUUCAGCAAUAUCUGCUUUAAAAACUAGAACUCAAGAGACCUGUGUGUAGAAUGAGUUUCCAAGUGCCAUCACCCGUCUAACCCUUCUAUCUUUUCAACCUUUAUACAGGCAAAGUUGGGUGGAGACAGGCCUCAGAUUCCCCAGAACAGAACAGGUUUUGCUCCUCUGCUGGAGGAAACUGUCACUCUGACAGACAGAUACUGGAAUUCACCACAAACCUGUCGGCUAAAGCAGAGUGUCUCGCCUCCCUCAACAACAGGAAAGUUGACAGCUGCAGUACUGGAUGCUGUGCCAUAAUGUCCCUGACAUCUGUUACAAUGACAACAUACAUCACAGUGGAUGAGUAGCAGUGCCACAGGUAAUCACAGCUGUGGGGAUAUCUUUAAAAAAAACCUCCAUCAACAGCUCUGCUAUCAACUAACUGAGCUUCAUGUUUUUCUGUUUUCUUUAAUGUAUUUUUGAUAUUUUAUUAUUAAUUCUCCACUCCCU